Molecule: small RNA, 65 nt
Filed under: Bacillus sp. SJS
Lineage: Bacteria; Bacillati; Bacillota; Bacilli; Caryophanales; Bacillaceae
Description: Bacillus sRNA ncr1241
Rfam family: Bacillus sRNA ncr1241
Source: Rfam by way of RNAcentral
UCAAAGGCUUUCUAGUAUUCCCCCCUUUUAUUAUCUGACAAAGCGAAUUCGCUUUGUCCUUUUUU